RNAcentral lists this unclassified non-coding RNA (1733 nucleotides) under Hevea brasiliensis (rubber tree). Lineage: Eukaryota; Viridiplantae; Streptophyta; Magnoliopsida; Malpighiales; Euphorbiaceae. The record is from RNAcentral.
CCACUCGCAGCUUUAACCCAAAAAAACCUGAAAUGGCUACCUAUUUCUAUUUAUUUUAAUCAUAAAAAAUCCAAAAAUAAUUGUAUGGAGCUUUUGGUAAAGGUUGUUGAGCAGAUUCCUUUGGAUGCCAAUUAUAUUUUGCCACAAUGUCCAUUUAUUAGCUGAAAGCGACUAUUUUGUUGGCUUUCGAGAUGAUUUGCAGUGCGACUGCUGAUUAGUGCAACUUGCAAAUAAGGUGAACAGAGUCCAGCACCGGCGGGGAGGGAGAAUAUGGGCCUGCUCACCCACAGAGUGGAGAGAAGUGAAAUCAAGCCAGGGGAUCACAUCUACACUUAUAGAGCUGUAUUCACUUACUCUCACCAUGGUAUCUUUGUUGGCGGAAACAAGGUGGUCCAUUUUACACCCAGGCAGAAUAUAAAUUCAAGCUCUGAUACAUCUUCUGAUAUCUAUGAUGUUCCAUCAUCCUGUGAUAUUCCUGACUGUGGAUUCAGGCAACCCAAUAGUGGGGUAGCCCUCUCCUGCCUGGACUGUUUCCUUGGAAAAGGAUCCCUUUACUGCUUUGAAUAUGGGGCAACCCCCUCUGUCUUUCUAGCAAAAGUACGGGGAGGUACAUGCACCACUGCUGCUUCCGAUCCACCAGAAACAGUUAUCCACCGAGCUAUGUAUCUUCUUCAAAAUGGAUUUGGUAAUUAUGAUGUUAUGGGGAACAACUGUGAGGAUUUUGCUCUGUACUGCAAAACAGGUCUUCUGGUAAUGGACAAGCAGGGAGUUGGAAGAAGUGGUCAAGCUUCUUCAGUCAUUGGUGCUCCAUUAGCUGCUCUCCUGUCGUCCCCUUUAAAGUUGCUAAUGCCAAGCCCUGUUGGUGUUGCCACAGUAACAGCUGGAAUGUACUGUAUGAGCAGAUAUGCUACUGAUAUAGGUGUUCGGAGUGAUGUAAUCAAGGUUGCUGUGGAAGAUCUGGCUGUGAACCUUGGUUGGGCAGAUCAUCAUGAGGAAGUCAAUGAGGAUAAUGAGGCCUCACACAGAUUGAUUACCGGGUGACAUUGAUUUCAUCUUUCUUCAUGUGAGGCUAUUCACUAUCAACUAAUAAGAAUUUGUCCAUGUUAACAAAAAUUCUGAAAUGGAAAUUCAUUGUUUUGUUUGUUUCAUUGCAAGUUAGAACAUGUUAGAUUAUGUCCUAAAAUGUUAAAUGAUAAUCCCCUAGUGUGAUCUGUUCUAGGUUGUUAUUGACUUCUGAAAUCCAGUCUGUUUCCUGGAGUGGUUUGCAAAGCUAAUGGAACACCAGAGGAUAUGGCUGAUGCUACUAUUACUUGAGUUAGACUAGAUUAGUCUGAUGGCUUGAGAGUUGAGACAUUUCAGUUAGAUUAGUAAGAGAAGCAUGAAAUCGGUUGAACUAAAGAUAAUAGUUUCUGCUCAACAAUUAAGCUAUCAUCUCAAGCAGAAAAUGUAAUGCCCUUCUUUUACUGGCUGCUUUUUUUGAUGGUGCAUUGGGAAUUAUUAGCGUCGCUAGUAGUGCCAAUUAUUAGCUUCGAAGCUUUUGCUUUUGUUACUUAAGGAAUUUACUAUUUUUCACUUUUUCACAUGGGCAUGUGGUCCUCUGUUGGUUGAAUUCUAACUAGCAUUUGAGUUGUAUCCACCUAAGCAACAUAUAUCACUCUUUUAACAGGAGACUAUAGCACCAUAUCACUCUUUUAACUUGUACCAUUCCUAGUUCAAAUCAAUAUAUAGAAAUC